This 521-nucleotide long non-coding RNA is filed under the name Carica papaya (papaya). RNAcentral describes it as "long non-coding RNA (CPAP_LNC000198)". The record is from RNAcentral. Lineage: Eukaryota; Viridiplantae; Streptophyta; Magnoliopsida; Brassicales; Caricaceae.
UUCUUCUAGGAAUCAAAAUGAGUAAAUAGUACCUAUAAAGGUUCUAAACAAACUCAAAAUCAGUCCCACGGUCCACUCGACCAAUUCCAGAAUUCUGGCAUGACGACAGCAAUUUACCUCGGAUCAACUGUUGUCGACUAUUUUUGGCCAAAUUCAACCAAUUUUGCAUCAAUCCUUGUGAGAAAACACACUUAGGUGCCUCGAUUGGCCGAAAAAAACACAAAACACUGAAACUCUCCGGCGGUGGGGCUCUCCGGUGUGGCAGCUCCUCCGGCUCACGUUGCGGUUGGGUGUUUGGUCAACUUCUAGAGAAGAAAAUGGUGAUCACAAUGUUGGAAAAAUUAUACAGAACGGGAAUCGAAAAGGGCCUCAUCAGAGGCAUUUUGUGAAAUUCCCUACGGCAGUGCCGCUGGGCUUCACCGGUAUUUUUCAACUAAUUGGCUAAUCUUUUUGCUCCGAUUUGGCCAUGUGUGAGCUUAAAAUUGAAUUUCGUGUAAAAGGGGAAGUUUUACCUAUUUUGG